RNAcentral lists this ribosomal RNA (245 nucleotides) under uncultured bacterium. Its description in RNAcentral is "partial 16S ribosomal RNA". It matches the Rfam family "Bacterial small subunit ribosomal RNA", at positions 524 to 768 of the family's 1533-position model. The record is from RNAcentral.
UACGGAGGGUGCAAGCGUUGUUCGGAAUUACUGGGCGUAAAGGGCGUGUAGGCGGUUGUGUAAGUCAGACGUGAAAUCCUUUGGCUCAACUGAAGAACUGCGUCUGAAACUGCAUGACUAGAGUGCAGAAGAGGGAAACGGAAUUCCAGGUGUAGAGGUGAAAUUCGUAGAUAUCUGGAGGAACACCGGUGGCGAAGGCGGUUUCCUGGUCUGACACUGACGCUGAGGCGCGAAAGCGUGGGGAG